This 15381-nucleotide long non-coding RNA is filed under the name Gallus gallus (chicken). Lineage: Eukaryota; Metazoa; Chordata; Aves; Galliformes; Phasianidae. The record is from RNAcentral.
GCCCCCUUCGCCCCGCCCACCGCCGUUGCCAUGGCGGCGGCGCGGUCUGCUCGGAGCGGGCCGGGACGCCGCGCCCUGUGACCCCUCCCGGAGGCAGAGGAUGGCUGAGGUUGGAAAGCGCCUCCGGAGGUCAUGGAAUCCGCCCUCCUGCUCCCCUAGAGCGCGCUGUCCGGCACUGUGUCCAGGGAAGGAGAUUCCGUGGCCCUCUGCCGUCCGCCCCACACUGAGGCCUGAAAGAUUCCCCUUCCCAAGUGGCGCUGCGCGCACACUUCUGCUUUGCGUCCUUCCAGUCAAAGCUGUGUGACCCCCUGGGCUGCCUGUGACGGCCCGCUGUUCGGCGUCCCCCAGCCUUCCACCGAUGGCCAAAAGGCUCGAGAAAGCAGGAGCGUGCCCUGCCUGGGAGGAAGCACCAGAUAUUGAGAAUGAAAAGAAAGUGAAGCAUUCAGCUUUCCGAAGCAUUCAGCUCUGUGAAUAUACAUGAAUUAACCAGCACAGUGCAGGUAUAAUGGAAGGGCUUCCUGGUCAUUCUGGAGCAUCAGCAGCUGUACCUGGAUGUGAAUUGCACUGUGAUACAGAUAAGUUUUGCAUUAAUACUAUCCAUUUUUCAAUGUGUAAUGUUUUCAUAUUCAUACAAGUGAAGGGUUUAUGUUUUUGCUUGGUAUGUGUAACAGACACAUAUAACAGUUGCCUUAAAAACCUGUUGUUUGUCAAGAAAAAUUAGUUGAUCCGUUGAUCUGAAGUCACUCAUCUUGUUGAACCCAUUGCAAAGGGGCUCAGACUGAGGAAGCAGCUUCUGCCUCUUGCUGUACUGUUAGACUUGCUAGGUAAUUCUGGACACAUUGCUUAACCUUCCCAAAUCUGAGUUUAAUGAGCUGGAUAUGCACUUGAGCUCUGUGAAUGAGAAGUGUUUCAGUUUGAGUUCUAAUCCUCCGUUCAUCAGUUGACAGAAUGCUUCCACUGUGUUUCCUUAUGUAGCGAGGUGUUCUCUGCUCUGAGAUAAACUUGCCUUUAUUUAGGAGACCUGAAGGAAAAACGAACAAACAAACAAAUGAUGCAUUUGCUAAUUUUUCUGAGAUUAAACAUUCAGUAGAACUCAACAAAUAUGUUUACUAGUUUAAUUGGAUUACAUUAAUAUACAUCCCCACAGCUUUUAUUACAUAAGCCCUUUUCUACCAGGGAUUUAGUCUAUUAGUUAAGGAAACCUGAGGGAUUAAUCUGAUAGCUGCAGUCAGAAAUUACAGUGUAAUUAAAGUCACCCAGGAAACAGUGAUACUGAAGUCUGCCAAUCCCUGCAAAACAAACUUGUCAAUUUUCUGCAUCUAGGAUAGCAUAUAAGGUGACACAUUAAAGGGGCACAAGUUCUGCACCAGAAAUAGGCCUGUUAAGGAGGAACUUGUGUACUGCACAGUGUAGCCAUCGCUGUUCUUGCUACCAACUACUGCUGUCUGUUUUUGAAUAGACUUUAAAGGUUUUGGUGUUUUAUUAAAGGUCAUGUACAGUGUGGGAGAGGAAGUAUAACACGGCUUGCACGGAAGUCUAUUUUAAAGCUUACUUUACUAAUUUAGUUGGACCGAGAUGUUACUUCAUGUCCAAAAGAAGAUAGAAAAUGCAAUGGCUGUAAAGAAGAAAGUUGCAGAGCACUGGAGCAGCCUUGUUAGUAGCAGGGAGAGACGUUUUGUCAUGGUCUGUACUUGUCAGUGUCAUUUGCUGCAAGCAGGGUAAUGGAGAGCAUGCAUCGGUGCAUGAGUGGAGGAGGAGAUCUGUUGUCUUCAUGAAUGGCAUCAAGGAACAGCACAGCAUUCCAGAAAUUCUGCAGAGUGUCAGUACUUGUGAUGUGUUUGAGCCAUUCUAAUAGCAUAAUAUACGCAGGAGAGAUUUAAUUUCACUAUAUCCAAAAUACACAGCAUUUGGUAUUUCUUUUGUUCUAUGAGACAUAAGUCUAAUGAUGCAUAUUCUAGUUAGUGCAACUUGCUAUCAAGGUUGUAAAGAAAUAAGCAACAAGAAGAAAAUAACGUAUGUAUUUUUUCUGUUGUCAGAGUAGACUUGUAUAUAUACUUCACAGCUUUGUCUUCUUGCUCUAAGUUGUAAAGUAACCUUCACAUAACAUUGUGUAAAUGGAAAAGUUCUCUGCCAGAAAGCUAAAGCCCAAUAUCUGUUGCUUGCAAAGCCACAGAGGGAACUACCCAUUGUUUCCUAGGAGGAGAUGGUGCAGCGACUUGCUGUGGCUUUAGCAAGAGGGCAAGGCUUUGUGAUAGAAGAUAAGCAAAGUAUGAUGACUUAAGUGGAGUGCUGAAGCUUUUACUGCAUCUGUCUUGUACAGUGUUGAAUAGAUUUUUAGGAACUUGCCAGUCAGGAGACCUGCCUUCGUGCUAAUGUGCAGACAUAGAGAAACUGCAUGAACAGAGGCAGGAAGCACUCAGAACAGAAAGGGAAAAUGAGCUACUGAUGCACACAGAGCUUUGCUUGGUAUAGCAGGCAAAGGAGGAUCCAGCAGGAACAGAAGAUAUCUCUUCUGUGCCUGAUCAGCCUGAGAAAAGUCCUUAACAAAACAAAGUGGCAGCCUGGAGAGUAUAAAACACAGGAAAUGAUGCAUUUCCAGUCCCACUUUUGCUUCUUUCUCAGCAGUCGCAGGGUGGGUGAGUAGGAGUUGCCUGUGCCAGCUCUGUGCAGCCUGGCAAAACUGGGGCCAGACCCGACGUUGUUGAGGCUGCUUCCACUUUUGUUUGUGAGGUGGAGGGAAGGACACCCUCUGUAAGUGUUGGUAUUAAUGCUUUUCUCUUAGUUAAUCUGUUUUGUUUGCUGCUGAGGCAUUUUACCUUCACCUCUAAAUUAUUUCAUUCUUCAUCAAAAUCCAAAGAAAACAGAGAUUCAAAGAAAGCACCCCUUAGAAUAGACUGAACGCUGAGUAUUAUUUGUAAGAUGUAUGAAACAGGAAACGGGAAGUUAGAAACAUUCAGGGAGUCGGUAUGCAUCCAAGUAGUCAAUGGUUCAGGGGGCAGAUAAACCAACACACCCCCACCCAGCACUGCAUGGCUACACCACCAGCAUUCAGGAAUUCUGACCUUUGCUAAAUCUUUAAUAUCUUUGGUUAUCAAACCCAAACUCGCUCACAUGCCAGAAGCAGUGUGGUACUGGGUAACCAUGUAGGUAAUUUUCAUGCUCAGAGAAGACAGCUCAUUUGUCAAACUGCGUCAGGUGAGAGUGCUCAGCAGGCCUGAAUUUCUGCAGAGAAAAAGGACCGGAUUCUCCUCCCUGUUGGCACCACCCAGUCUGAGUCAUACAGGCUGGAAGCAGUAGUACAGCUGCCAAACUUCCUCACCUAGAUCACGCUAUCUGCUAUAGGCUGCACUGGGAUUAUUGAGUGAGGUGUUUGGGUGUAGAAUUAAAAUACGUUGAGCACAGGAUUGUACUGUUGGGGAUUUUUCCACAAUGUUUCUUCUCCAGGAAAUGUUUUUCCUCUCUAGCAUUGCAGGGUAACAGUGUAAACGUUUGUUUUUGUUGGUUCAUUGCCAGACAAACGUAAGAACAUGUUGUAAAAGUCACAUUUUGCUGGAUUUCGUUUUAGAAUAGUAGAACUGUAGAAUGGCUUAAGUCAGAGGGAACCUUAAAGAUCAUCUAGCUUCAACUCCUCUGCCAUGGGCUGGCUGCCCCCACCAGCUCAGGGUGCCCAGGGCCCAUCCAACCCGGCCUUGGGCACCUCCAGGAAUGGGGCACCCACAGCUCUGGGCAGCAGUGCCAGGGCCUCACCAUCCCCUAAGCAAAGAAUUUCUUUGUAACAUCUAACCUAAAUCUCCCCUCUUUUAGUUUAAAUUCCGUGUAGAAUUUCAAGUGUGUUUGGCACCUGCCAUUCCAAAUACAGACAAAGUUAUAUGAUAGAACUCAGACUUUGUAAAUCGUAAUGGAUUUUGAUCACAGGAUAUGAUGCUACUUGGUCACAACAGCCCAGAUCCCUGUAGGACACAUACUUCCAUUGAUUUCACUGGAAGUUAGGGGCCACAGAGAACUCUGUGGUUCUUUUCCUACCAGCUGAAGUCAAUGAAACCACCUUUUGAAAAUGGGGUUCCAGAUAUUACAGUCUAGCAGACAAAGCUGGCUUAUCCCACAUUAAAUGUCACCUCUGAGAACGGAAUUUAAGUGAUGAUGGCGUAGUGGAAGUCUAAGACAGAGCCAAGGCCAGAGUGUAAAUUAUCUGAUGCCCAGCCCAAUGCAUGAACCACAGUGCUGAUGUUUGAUUACUGUGAGGUUGGAUACUGACUCUAUAAACAACAACUGCAGUUUUCAAAACUUACCCGCAGCAAAUGCAGAACCCUGCCUUGACAUGGUUUUCUGAUGGUAGAACUCUGCUUGCUGAAGUCUAUUUACACCUCAAAUUUUCCAAAAACAAGACUUCAAUUCCUCAUUGCUGUGAAGCAAGCAUUACUUUUAACAAAUUACUUAAUUGCUUUUCUAGCCAUUUCUUUUCCUGCAUUUCUUAAUUGAGUUUGUAUAGAAUAUUUCUACAUGAAUGAGUGCCUGAGGCAAGAUGAGGUCUGAGCAGAAACCUGUAUCUUGGUUUCCUAGUCAGUGGGAUGCAGGAGAGCCUACUGUGCUUCUGUUUAGGGAUAAGAACUUGGUUAAAGGCAUGCAACCCAACUCAUGUUUCCUUGUGCUUGCUUACAAGGAGAAUAUCAAGGUCUCAGACUGGAUAAUGAUGCAGAAAUGCACACUGACAGCGGUCCCAAUAGCCGGGCUCAUGGAAAGAAAGUCUCAGAUGUGAAUGAAGGAUGUGAGGCUGCAGCCAAAUUGAUUAGAAGCAAAGAACUCUCAGACAUCUGAAGUGUGCAAAGCAUAAAGCUGUCCUCUAAUUUCCCAGUUUUGGCAGUUUUGUUGCCACUUGAAGGUAAAGCUGGUAUUAAUCACUGGGGGGAAAAUGCAACCCUGCUCUCUUUGAUCUUUCCUCCUUUAAUCAACAGUUUCUAAGUGCAAUAAGACAUUUCAGAUGUUGCCAAUGUAUUUUUAUCUGGCAAUUGUUCAAUGCGUAUCCUAAAAUGGAGAGGUGCAUCUGCUGAAACACAGCAUGGUGCUUCUGGAGGAGGAAACCAUCUCCUUUCUGGCUUUGCACUGUUCAUUGGUCUGACAGCCUUGGAUAUCCAUGGAAAUGUAACUGUUCCUAAGAUGAAUCCUACACGUUGCACAGUUGCUCUGCUUCCUGUAACUCAUCUAAAUAUUGGUGACUAAUUAUUCUUGAGGAAACAUCCUUUCUCUGUGGAGUUAGCUUUGCAAGCAAAAGGACAUUAGAAGCAGCACCCUGACCAGGUCACUAGCCAGCCAGGAGAGAGCAGGGAUUGCAGGCAGGAGGUGGCAGCCUCGAGUAGCAGCACACUGCUUUCUCUGCUCAGCUAUGCUCAGACCUGAAUGCUAACAGGAGCAGGGUACAAACAGCUUGGGGUCUGGGUCCUUGCUUUAAGCACUGCAGCUUGAAGAUGGAAACCUAACUUUGUCCCUCGUGCCCACUAAUUAAAAACGUAGCUAAGCUGCUCUAUAGGUGCAGUGUUGGAGUUGUAUGGGUUUGCUCAGAAUUUUUAAUAUUUUGUUCAAUAUCUUCAGAGGGAAAGAAUGUAGCACUCUUUAUUUGAUCUGUCCCGUUCUCAUCUAGGUUUAUUUCUUCUUGCAAGGAAAAUUAUGUUGCAGACAAGAAUAAGUCCCCUCGAAAUACUGUAUUGUUUUGUUUGUGUGUCUAAUUCUUGAGCCCCAUCCUGCAAAGCUGAUGGUCCUCCAUGGCCUGGCUAUAGUCCACAAGGGGAUUUAUAAGGGAAUUUUGCCUCCCUCAUGAGCUACAACGAAGUAACGGCAAAUGAACCUACUUAGAUUAAAGAUGUCACUGACUGAAAUGUUCUAAUCAACAGAACCUUGCAAUUAUCCUCUCUCAGCAGAGAGGGGAACUUGAUGACAUCAUUGUUUUUUCCCUGUGAAAACGCUUAGUUGGAAAAAGACAAAAAAAGAUUCAAUGAAUCACAUGCAACAUCCCACUUGGAAUCUUUGAAUAAUCCCAAAGAGUGCCAUUCACUGCAACAAUCAAAAUGUAAGCCAAGAGAGUUCUGCAGCAUUGCUUUUUGCCCACUGGGUGAGUAUUCGUGGUAGGAAUUUUCCUCGUUCAUUUUAUUGUAAAAUCUGUGUAUCCCUGACUGUUUUUUCCUGGAGUCCCACAUUUUCAUCUUCUGGACCAAAUCUUAGUUUACUUUUUUUUUUCCUUUCUUCCUUCUGAUGCACAUGAAAACUCUUUCUUUAAAAGCUGACAUGUAGCAAAUGUUACAUCUGACAUCCUGCAAAUGGAAUCCUUCGGUUAAACUGUGUGUGCACAAAUCUGUUCCCCACAGAGCCAAUGGUCUACCUGGAUGGAUAUGAACGCAAGACUGGGUUUUCUGUAACAGUCCAAUCCUGUUAGACACAGAAGACAUUGUCCUGAAUGGUUUUGUUUAAUCUUUUCAUUAAGCAAACAUUUUCCUAAGUUUGCAUAAGCAGUCACCCAGCUGCGACUUCCACACAGCCUCAGUAACUCGGAGGGUGUGGUGAUUAAAUUUCCUCGGAGACUUUCCUUCCAUCUGACUACCAAAGAGUAAUUCAUUCCUCAGCCAACAUCGUUUGUUUGCUUUGUUUCUUCAGCCUUCAUCUGCAGAAGAUACAUCGGUGAGGUAAUAGUGGUCUUUCUAAUGCAAAAGAGUGAGGGACGAUUUGUUGAGCCACAUUCCCUGAAGAAAGAAGGCUUAUGUGCACAGAUUCUGUCUGGCCCAACAGCCAGCACUAGAACAUGGAAUCCCAUUGGGCAAUUCACUUCAGUAUGAAAAAGAGAAGACUCCAGUUUUCUGUCAGGACUGUCAGCUGAAGGGCUGAGCCUAACAGCUGUUCUGUGUAAGAGUUUGAACUCAACUAGCCGUAUUACUGGAAGAGGAGAAUGUGCCAAAAGGUGUUUUGCUCAAUGAAAAAGUGCAGUAAAUUUGAGCCGUAUCAGGUCUGUGCCGCUGGAGAAAUAUGCUUUCCUUUUUUAAAGUGUAUGGAAUCCUACAACUUCCUUUCUGUUUCUUGGUUUUCUUAACAUAACAGUGGCAGCAGCAUUGGCUUCUGUAGAAUGUCAAUAGAAGUUAUGCUUCAGAUCCAGAUGUGCAGAGGAAGAAGACUUUCCUUCCACAGCUCUGUGGGUCCUUCUAGCUGUUACAUACCGACCUGUCACAGAGGGGGUUCUGUGAGUCCUCCCUAAUUCAUAUUAAGCACAAUUGGGCAGAUUUUAUUAAGCAGUUUAAAAUCCUGUUCUGACAUACGGCAUCUGGUUUUGCAUCACUUGAAUUAGCAAUGCUCCCACAAGCUCUUCUCUUAGCACAUCUGAAGAGUGUUAACCCUAUCCACUGGCACUGCUAGAUGGAAAAGAAAUCAUCUGUAUGUGACCUGAAGCCCUGUUGCCAAUGCACAGGCAUAUAGCAUUGUGGACGUGGCUACAGCCUGUACAGAAGAGAAUAUAAUUCUAUUUGGAGGGCUUGACUAUUCAAGCUCUGUGAACAGGAAGAAAAGGGCUGACUCAUAUAACAAGCCAACGUCAAUGAGCAGAAUCACAUUUUAAAUGAGGUCACUUAAACAAGUGGUUUCUUAUACUGAGAAAAAUUACAGGUAGAUUGAAAUGGUGUGUUUAAAGUACUGCUUGGUGGUUGGGGGCACUAAGGAAUCUAUUCCAAGUGUGGAAAAAAGCCUUCACCACAUAUGCACUGGAGGUCUUAAGAAGAAGGGAUAGUUGGAGUGUAAGGGAUAAUCUUGAGCUGUGAAUGGCAUGAGCAAACAUUUAGGGAAGCCUAGCUCUGUAUGGUAGGAAAGUCUCAGGGAGAUGAGCCAGUACAUCUGUGAGCAAUGGAAUCAGCGAAGCCUGGUUUCCAAUGGGUAUGUGUCCCAUUCUGGGCUCUUUCACAUCUAAUCCGGUGCAAGAUGUGAUCCAAGCUUUUCCCGUGGCCUGGAUGGUCUUUGUGUCUGUCGUAGGACAUCGUCUAGUGAGUAGGGAUUUGGUACAUCUUUUCCCAUGGUUGGAAGUGCUGUUUGGGUCUCUUCUUCCCAGUUGGCUGCCCAUGUCUGCUAAACUUGCAACAAAUUUCUAUCUUGAAUUCUUUACUUUGCUUAGAAAUUUAUUUGAAAAGCACACAUUGGAUUCAAAAGUUAUUUAAAGGGGAAGUGAAAACAGGAGAAUAUGCACUCAUACACCAAAUGCAACGGCAUAGGCCUUUUGCCUUAAGAAAUUGAAACGUUAGAAGAAGGUAUUUCUGCCUACAGAUAUGGUGGUUUCCAGCACUGGUGGUGAUGUCACUUCAGAUGAGGGGGAGAUGGGGAGAGGAGAGGGUUUGGAAUAGAAGGGGUGAAUGGAAGCAUCACUAAAACCUGCUUUCGCUCUGUGACCUUUGAAGUUGUUCCGUGCAGAGCUGGCAUACAAUAUUUCAACACUGUACUCUUGUGGUAGGUUCAUUUGUCAAUUUUUAUUUAUUUAUUUAUUUAUUUAUUUAUUUAUUUCAACUUAGUUAUUUACUGGGUGAGAAAAUGUAUAGUUAAAACCCAGAUUUAGUCUAAAUGUAUGUACAGAUUAACUUUUUUUAAUUGACUGUUUGUUAGGCUGGCAUUACUGGUAUGAUUUGUUUUGUUUAACCUGUUUGUCAUUCCAAAGUAAUAUAUAUUUUCUUUUCUAAGAGGAAUUUGCACUGGUAUGUAUGGGAACACAAAAUCCAAUACAAGUCUAUGAAACAAUCUACCCAAACGUGUAUCUAAAUCCAUUUGAAUAGGCACAUUUUGUGACCUGGAGAGAUUUUCUGUAGUUCCUAUCAACAUUUUUAUCAAAUCUUCAUUCCAGUAGGUCGGAACUCCGUUGUUACGCUGAUGCUAUGGCUAGCUUGAGAAAUAACCUUCCUUUUAUUUGAGAACCCGUAGCUGAAACGUGUGGUAGAGCUAGUCUGCUCUUUUGUCUAAGGAAGAAAAGAAAUGCCCAAUGGAAAUAGAAAGGGGAAAACUAUUGGAAGAGCUGUUAAAAACAAACAGCUGUAUGUUUUCCCCCUCUACCUUUGAAAAAUUCAAUUAGUUCCAAGCAUGGAUUUAAUCUGACGAAGUUAAUGUCUAUUCAUUUCUUUGAUAUCAUUUCUUACAUCAUUCUGUGAAAUAGAUUUCCGCGUUCAGUUCAUUAUCCAAUCAUUACUUUUCUGAUUCAAAUAACCAGUCAGCCUGCAGGGUACAAGCCCUGCUUUCAACAGUUGAAGUUGAUCAUAUUGGCCAAUACUGAGGUAGACAGACUGGGAUUCCCCUCUUUAAGGAAUUCAGGACAUCGUGAAAGCCACAAAGCGACUCCUUCACAACACUGAUACAGAUGGCAUGACUGGUGUGUUCAGCUGACUCUUGUCUGAGAGUGUUUGCAGGGUUGUAAACCAGCAGUAUCCUCCCUGUUUGGUCUGUGUUUGCACUGGCUUAGCCAACAUCAGAAUCUGCUCCAGGGAUAACAAAGGUAGCAGAGGUGGGGUUCUUUGGGGCUUGUUAGGCCGCUUUCCUGUAUUGGAUGUAGUGUUUGUUAGCAGAUUAGAACUGAACCUUGGGUAUCAUAAAUGAGUUGGCCGUGAGCCCCUGUGGGCAAGAAGUCCAGUGGUAUCCUGGGGUGCAUGAAAAAGAGAGCAGUCAGGCUCUUCUUGGUGGUGUGUAGCAAUAGAACAAGGAGUAAUGGCCUAAAACUUGAACGUAGGAAGUUCUGCACAAACAUGUGGAAGAACUUCCUUGUGGUAAGGAUGACAGAGCACUGGAACAGGCUGCCCGGAGAGGCUGUGGAGUCUCUUUCUAUGGAGAUAUACAAGACCUAUCUGUUCGCCAACCUGUGUGACCUAUUGUAGGGGACCUGCCUCAGCAGGGGGUUGGACUCAAUGAUCUCCUGAGGUCUGUUCCAACCCCUGUGAUUCUCCUUUAUGAGGGCUCAUGUUUUUUAAUUUAAUAAAUAUGAAAUAUUGUUCCUUGUUCGAAAGCUCACCUGUCAGGUUACACUCUUGUAAUUCCACUGCUUUAUAAUUGCAGUAUUCUUUCAGUAAGGUUCUUCUAUAUAAAAACAAGCUUGGGAAGAAAAGAGAAUAUCAUUUGAAGCCUCCUUUAAAUAUCCUGAGGAUUAAAUGUCCCUUUUGUGUUUAUAGUAACACUUUCUAUAGCGUGUGAAUGAGUAUUUUGGGGUAUUUGUUCUCAGCGCAGUGAAUGAACAAAAUGGUCCUCUUGAUUCUGUGAACAGAAGAAGUCUUUUUUUGUGUGUAACCUUGGCAGCAGACGUAAGUAUGCUCAUGGAUGAAGGAAAGACAAAUGAUUAUGGAAGCUAGAGACUGGGAGAGGACUUAGGAGAUAUAUCACAACGUGUUUAUUCUGCCCUUAACAUUCUUCCCUCUAUGCUAAGUAUAUUAGAAGCGUUGUCUGGAUCGUGGAAAACAAGGUUUAUUCACAAAAGCCACACAGUGUGUGAUCCUGGUGCCCCAGAGCACAGACCACAUCCACAUCAGUCAGUGUUCUUCUUACCACGCUCAGUGUAAGUCCCAGCAUCUCAGAUCACCUUUUCCAGUAACGCUUUUGGCAUUCCUUGUGUCUCCCUGUAGAUCAAGCCAAAAGUAAGCUUUACACCACUACAGCAAGCCAAGCAAGGGACUGACAGCUUAGCAAUGCCUUGAACGUCGUCACAUGCAACUUGCAGUGGCAAAGUGGUACUUAACAACUCUAUUUUCAUAGUACCUUGCUGCGUCUCUGUGGGUCAUUCAUAUCUAAUAAAAUAUACACACUGUUGGAGAUGGGAUUCUGAGCUCAGCAGCCUUUCAGUGUGACCAACUACACUGUUCAUAUGUAGAUGUAACAGUUAUUUUAGGUGAGUCCGUUCUGCAAUGUAGACACUGGCUAGUCCAUUAUUGUGAAGGAAACGGAAUGGACAGAGCAUUUAAUUGAUUAAUUACCCUAUGUUCAAAAUGCAGUCAGAUCAGGGUGAGAAUGAAGCCAGUAGGGAAAAAUGAUGGCUCUUUCAAAAAGUAUAAAGAAUAUUGUCAGUUUAACAUAGUAAGUGCUGCUUAAGAGUAUUUCCCAGAUCACAGUAGAGAUUUUUACUCUUUGCUCUCAUGCCCUGAAAUAUAACCUCAUCGUUCUGACCAAUAUGUGGCAGUCAUUUAGCAAUACGUCUGCUUGGGGAUGUUACUGGGGCUGUUAACAAAGUUAGCAAAAAGCUUGUCAUUUAACUUCUUGAAGCCAGGCUAAAGAUUUAGUGCCAAUGCAGGGGACAUCUGCUUUUUUUCUGGUCAAAAUGAAUAGACUGAAUUACAGAGACAAUAAAGAUGGAGUCUCAUGAUGCUAUUGUACACUGCUUUGCUUUUCAUUUUGAAGAGAACUCACAAGUAAUGGACAAAAUCAAAUGAAUCACCCCCUAUAUUUCAGCCAUCUUGUCUCAGCAAAUGGGCAGCAGUCAACAAGGAGAAGCAGGAACUUCAGAAAAUGAUUUGUUCUAUUUAUUUUAGAUACCCAUUUCAGGAUAGAGGAACUCAUCCCUCAGAAGGAGGAAGGCAUACAUACUGUCUCGUAUGUGCAGCUGUCUUGCUUAGCUUCUAAAUGAAUUCUACUCUAACUAGCCUACCUAACCUGUUUUUGCUACUGGAAUCAGAUGGAAAUACAGUCAGUAUUUGCAAAUGCAAAGCUCCACAGAAAUAGAAUGUAUCAUUCUAUAUUUCACCCUGCUUCACAGAGAGCCAGGGAAGGCUUUUUUUCAUCUACCCACUGAGAACAAAGUGCUGAUUUGGCUCUAUGGUUCUUGGAAACUGUCUUUGCUCUGCUAUUUCCUGUUACAUUCUCAAGCUGCGUAUUUUAGAUGUGAAUGAGGACCAACCCCCCAUCUCUUUUUGCUUGUAGCAGUAUGACAUGAUGCCUUGGACAGAUGUAGAUGGGUGUUUCUUGCCAGUAAAAAAAAAAAAAAAAAAGAAGUGGAAAAUGAAAGCACGGCAGAAAGUUUAGUUCUGGGGGUUCACUCCUCACUGUGUAUGGUAAACCAUGGCAACACCUUCAGUAGUGCUGACCUUGCCUGACAUGCUCUGCAGAGGCUGCACACCAAUUCCCAUCCCCUGGGAAGACCUUUGACGCUUUGCAGGAUUGUUAUUUGUUUCAUCCUCAGACACACGUUACACUGGCAGACCAAGGCAGCGAGUGCUUGCUUUGGUAGCAUUGGCAGGGGCUCUGAGCAUCUCCUUUCACAGCUCUGUGCUGCAGCCUGACAUCGUGAAGCUGCCUGCAGGCCAGGCAGACAUUUCCAAACAGCAUUCCUGGCAGCACAAACAGACAAUUAAAUUUAAAGACGAGGCAUUGCCACCAUUCAUUUGAAUGACUGUGGUGCUUCAGCAUAUUGCUAGUGUUUGUUGACAUAUGUAAUUUAUAGAAUUUGGUUUGUGUGUGGUGGGAAGAGGAAAUAUAUCAGUGCGGUGAUCUGACACCUCGUCUACGUUGGUGGCCUUAUUUCAUACCUUUUUGCAUGCCAAAUGGAAUGAAGUGCUCUCAGAAUCUGUAGAUGACCUGGCAGGAGCUGAAUGAGUGUCCUUAAAACCAUUUGUACUGUUGUACCUUUGUGUUUUCUGUUUUGUGACCUUGGCAGACCAGUGAUUGGGAAAGCUGCUCACACACCAUCUGCACCUGCUACUUUUGCCGUGCAGCAAGUGGUCAUUUCCUUUCCAAACAUGACUGGCUUCUGAUAGCAGUGGGAAAUUGGCAGCUCUUGUAUGAAAGCAGUAGAUUCCAGUUUCUUCUUUCGGCUUUUCACUGAGAUAGAACAGGAGUUGUUAUGGUUAUGUCCCCAGUGCUCUGUGUCACAGCUUUCUUUUCUACAUAACUGCCUUUUCAAUCAUUAAGUACAAUCAGUAUAUGGAAUCACAUCUUGUAUUGUAUAAUACCAUAUUACCCUGAGAUCUUUUUUUUUUUCCAGUAUCAUCUUAAUUCUAAACAGAGAUGCACAACCGACAGUGAAAAUGUUUCCCUUUUGUCUCGUGGCCUUUCUUUCUCAUUUCCAUGAGAAGAAGAGAGUGCAGAAUAAAGUUGCUCUCUUGACUUCCGUGGUCUGGCUAAAGAAACAACAUAGCAGGAGUGAGCUGUGCUUUUCUCCUUAUUUCUCUGGCACAUUGAAAAGAUGAGGUGUAGGAGUGUUCAUUGCUCUUCUAAUUCUCUCCUCCAGAGGGGAUGGAAGCUGUUGCAAUUCUUCCUUAUGAGGGUCCUUAAAAUCAGCAGGUAAGGAAGUACUGUGUUGAGCAGCACGCAGGCAAUCCCCCCAUCUCCAGCCUCAAGGAUCACCCCUGCAGAGAGCUGGGAAGGAGCUGUGCAGCUGGCAGAGAGCGCCAGGAGGUGGUGAAUUUAGUUUCUACUCUUAACAGCAUGAAACAGCUGCAUUGGCUUUACGUGUGGUUCGAAGAUUUGCCCUCUCUGAAAGUUAGGGCAAGUUGUUUGUGGCAUACAGUGUGCGCCUUAACAAAUGUGCAGUCUUUUUCUUCCUGUCAGCAACUGGAGAUGGUGAUAGGAUCACAUGUUUUUGCCCACGCUUUCAUGUAGCCUUGUUAAUGAAACAGGUAAUCCUGUUUGUCUUAAAAUCAAGGCAAACAUCUCUCAUGUUCUGUCCAUCUGUUCCAGACACUAACAGCACGCUCAUCACCAUGGUAUUGGAACAGUCUGGUACACAAAUAGCAAUCAGCAGCUAUUAGCAUAAUAUUAUUACUAGAUCCAUAAAGCUAAUAUUGGCAGAGAUAGGAGGUGUCGCACGUUGUGAGCUAGUUUCUCAGCACAUGUACCGUGUUCUGCCAGAAUGUGAUAAUAUUCUGUAUAAAAAUCAGUAGAAGGAUGCAAUUUUUAAUUAUUUCAUGCAAGCAGCAUAAAUUGUCCAUAUAAUACAAGUCAAUGAUUUCUUCUUGCAUUCAGUAAUUGGCAAUCCAUUGCUGUCUCGUAGUAAAACAGCAUUCUUUAGAAAGCUAAGUGUAUAAACAGGAGGGGGGGAACGGCUGUUUGUGAGGGUGGAUAGUGAUAGGACAAGGGGGAAUGGCUUUAAACUGAGACAGGGGAGGUUUAGCUUGGAUAUUAGGAGGAAGGUUUUCACCCAGAGGGUGGUGACGCACUGAACGGGUUGCCCAAGGAGGCUGUGGAUGCCCCAUCCUUGCAGACAUUCAAGGCCAGGCUGGAUGUGGCUCUGGGCAGCCUGGUCUGCUGGUUGGCGACCCUGCACAUAGCAGGGGGGUUGGAACUCAGUGAUCACUGUGGCCCUUUUCAACCCAGGCCAUUCUAUGAUUCUAUGAUAUUAAAUCAAACACUGAAAACUCCUUUUUUCCAUCCUCCUACCCCCCGGUCAUUGAUGCAGGCUGAUACAGGAGCGAAUCUUUGCAUGCAGGAGGUCACUCAUCCCAAAUGUCCAGCACAUGAGACAAGGUGUACUCAGCAUGAGAUCUUCUGGAGUACUGCUGGAGAGGUGGCACAUCACUGCAGCUUGCCAGAUAACUGUCACGCUGUGUCUGCACACACUCCCAGUGCUUUCUGAAAGGAGUGAAAAUUGCUUUCUGCUUUGCCGGCCCACAGAAAGAACACAGAUCUUUCAGAUCCAACAUUUUCAGACCUCAGACCUCAAACCUUUCAGAUUACAAGGGAAGCAGAUUGCAGAUCCCUCCAAAAGAUCCCGACUGCCCCAUAAAACGCAGCCAUUCUCUUCCUGUCCUUACACCCCUUCACUAAUCUAAUUUACACACAUUCAGAAGCCCAGCUUCAGAUGUGUCCUUUUCAUUUGGUCUCUUUUCCUAUGAUGUAAUAUAAGAUUUAUUUUGGAGUUGAACAGCCACACUUUUUCAAUCUCUGGUAUAUAAAUUGCUAGUUAAAAGAAGUGGAUUCCUCUCAGGUGGCAGAUUUUUGCAGGUCUGCUUCAAUGAAUGGCUCGUGUAUAUGUGUGUAUAUAUAUAUGUAUGUUUCUUUCCUCUCUUAGUCAGAAUUUGUUCCUGGGAGACCUAUUUUGCAAGCUUGUCUGCUGAAACUUCUGUAGAGAAGAAAGCAGACGGAGCCUUUUCAGAUUGCAGCUUCCCAGUUGCUGUGUUGAAAGCAUGAAGCAAAAGUGAAACCGAGGUAUUACAGUUCUUAGUUCUCAUAAACGGCUUUUCCUUGCUUUGCUCUGCAGCAAAUUCCAGCUGAGCUAACAUUUCUGUUAGCAUGACAAUGCCCAUACGUGCACUGCUGUAAUGAGAGGGAGCAUCUGUGUCUGAGCUGGUUGUGAUUGUGUUGAAAAGAGACAGAUUGUCAUCGUGUGUCAGUCCUUACUCUUCCACUGAACAUGAAACUUCCUUGGUCGUGCUGUUGGUUCAGUCUCCAGUCUCCAUUUUCAUAUCA